AUAAGCAAUUAAGGGCACACGGUGGAUGCCUAGGCAUGCAGAGGCGAAGAAGGACGUGUAAAGCUGCGAUAAGCUGCGGGGAGUUGCAAAAGAACUGUGAUCCGCGGAUUUCCGAAUGGGGCAACCCACUCUAAUUUAUUAGGGUAUCCUUUCGAGGAGGCAUACCCGGGGAACUGAAACAUCUAAGUACCCGGAGGAAGAGAAAACAACAGUGAUUCCGCAAGUAGUGGCGAGCGAACGCGGAGCAGCCCAAACCGCAUCCUACGGGGUGCGGGGUAGUAGGACCUGCGUAAUUUUUGUAAUCUUAAAUCGAAGCUGUCUGGAAAGCAGCGCCACAGAAGGUGAAAGCCCUGUAGGUGUACCGAUUACAAAAAGGCGGGUAUCCUGAGUAGCGCGAGACCGGUGAAAUCUUGCGUGAACCAGCCGGCACCAUCCGGUAAGGCUAAAUACAUCUGCAUGACCGAUAGUGAACCAGUACCGUGAGGGAAAGGUGAAAAGAACGCCGAGAAGGCGAGUGAAAUAGUACCUGAAACCGUGUGCUUACAAGCGGUCGGAGCUGCAUUUAUGUAGUGACGGCGUGCCUUUUGUAUAAUGAGCCUACGAGUUGCUCCUGUUGUGCGAGGUUAAGCCCCUAAGGGGUGGAGCCGUAGCGAAAGCGAGUCUGAAUAGGGCGUGCAGUACAGCGGGGCAGACGCGAAACCAAGUGAUCUAUCCAUGGUCAGGGUGAAGCGGUGGUAAGACACCGUGGAGGCCCGAACCGGUUGACGUUGAAAAGUCUUCGGAUGAACUGUGGAUAGGGGUGAAAGGCCAAUCAAACUUGGAGAUAGCUCGUACUCCCCGAAAUAUAUUUAGGUAUAGCGUCUGGUUUUGUCUCACUGGAGGUAGAGCACUGAUUAGGCUAGGGCCCUUCACCGGGUACCAACCCUAGACAAACUCCGAAUACCAGUGAUGAGCCGCCAGGCAGUCAGUCGCAGGGUGAUAACGUCCUGUGGCGAGAGGGGAACAACCCAGACCACCAGCUAAGGUCCCUAAAUACCGACUAAGUUGAUCAAAGAAAGUUGAGUUGCUCAGACAACUAGGAGGUUGGCUUAGAAGCAGCCAUUCCUUUAAAGAGUGCGUAAUAGCUCACUAGUCAAGCGACUCGGCGUCGAUAAUAAUCGGGCAUAAGUCGGUUACCGAAGCUGUGGGAUUUAACGAUCGGUAGGGGAGCAUUCCAGUCAGCGCAGAAGCAGCGCCCGCGAGGGGCCGUGGAGCGGCUGGAAGCGAAAAUGUAGGCAUGAGUAACGAUAAGAAGGGUGAAAAACCUUUCCACCGUAAACCCAAGGGUUCCUGAUCAACGCUAAUCGGAUCAGGGUUAGUCGAGACCUAAGGUGUACCCGGUGAGGCCGGGGAAGCCGAUGGCAAAGCGGUUAAAUAUUCCGCUACCGAAGCCAACGUAUGGCUAAGGCGUGACGCAGAAGUGACACUCCCGCGUGCUGACGAAUGCACGUUAAAGGGCGUAGGCCGGGGGGCAGGCAAAUCCGCCUCCCGUUAAGGCUGAACCCCGACAGUACUCGGAUUCUCACGAUGAAGAGAUAGUGGAGGUAAUCAUGCUGCCAAGAAAAGCGUCGUAGUUUGUUGUCUUCGCUCGUACCCCAAACCGACACAGGUGGGUGAGGAGAGUAUCCUCAGGUGCUCGAGUAAUUCAUGGCUAAGGAACUAGGCAAAUUCGAUCCGUAACUUCGGGAGAAGGAUCCCCUGACUAUGUCAGGGCGCAGUGAAAAGGCCCAAGCGACUGUUUACCAAAAACACAUGUCUCUGCUAAGCCGUAAGGCGAUGUAUAGGGACUGACACCUGCCCGGUGCUGGAAGGUUAAAGAAGGGGGUUAGCUUCGGCGAAGCCCUUGACUGAAGCCCCAGUAAACGGCGGCCGUAACUAUAACGGUCCUAAGGUAGCGAAAUUCCUUGUCGGGUAAGUUCCGACCUGCACGAAUGGUGUAACGACUUGGGCACUGUCUCGGCCAUGAGCUCGGUGAAAUUGUGGUAUCGGUGAUGACGCCGAUUACCCGCAGCGGGACGAAAAGACCCCGUGAACCUUUACUACAACUUUACAUUGGCUUUAGCUGUCGCAUGUGUAGGAUAGGCGGGAGACUUUGAAGCGGCGUCGCCAGGCGUUGUGGAGUCACCCUUGAAAUACCGCCCUUGCCACAGGUGAAGUCUAACCCUUAAGGGGGAACAGUGUAUGGUGGGUAGUUUGACUGGGGCGGUCGCCUCCUAAAG
This 2258-nucleotide ribosomal RNA is filed under the name marine metagenome. RNAcentral describes it as "bacterial LSU rRNA". It matches the Rfam family "Bacterial large subunit ribosomal RNA", at positions 1 to 2295 of the family's 2925-position model. The record is from RNAcentral.